Molecule: ribosomal RNA, 492 nt
Filed under: uncultured bacterium
Lineage: Bacteria
Description: partial 16S ribosomal RNA
Rfam family: Bacterial small subunit ribosomal RNA
Source: RNAcentral
AGUGAACGCUGGCGGUAGGCCUAACACAUGCAAGUCGAACGGCAGCACAGUAAGAGCUUGCUCUUACGGGUGGCGAGUGGCGGACGGGUGAGGAAUACAUCGGAAUCUACUUUUUCGUGGGGGAUAACGUAGGGAAACUUACGCUAAUACCGCAUACGACCUACGGGUGAAAGCAGGGGAUCUUCGGACCUUGCGCGAUUGAAUGAGCCGAUGUCGGAUUAGCUAGUUGGCGGGGUAAAGGCCCACCAAGGCGACGAUCCGUAGCUGGUCUGAGAGGAUGAUCAGCCACACUGGAACUGAGACACGGUCCAGACUCCUACGGGAGGCAGCAGCGGGGAAUAUUGGACAAUGGGCGCAAGCCUGAUCCAGCCAUACCGCGUGGGUGAAGAAGGCCUUCGGGUUGUAAAACCCUUUUGUUGGGAAAGAAAAGCAGCAGGUUAAUCCCCCGCUGUUCUGACGGUACCCAAACAAUAAGCACCGGCUAACUUCGUG